CUAGACAAAAGGCUAGAAGAAGUUCCAGUUAAGCUGAAAUCUUAAUUAUAUUAUACUAACAUAUUGUGUCUACCAUUUAUUGUUAUAAAGGAACCAUCAAGUUAAAGCUUGCAAAGUAAAGAUUAUUUUAAGAAGGGUUGCUCAAGAUAUUCAUGUUCGAGAAGAAAUUACAGAACCUACAUGCGAUUUUGUAGCUCCUACUUUCAGAUUUAAGCAUUUUAUAGUCUAAGUAUUCAGAGCUUCU
Molecule: long non-coding RNA, 244 nt
Filed under: Solanum tuberosum (potato)
Lineage: Eukaryota; Viridiplantae; Streptophyta; Magnoliopsida; Solanales; Solanaceae
Description: long non-coding RNA (STUB_LNC009114)
Source: RNAcentral